RNAcentral lists this ribosomal RNA (397 nucleotides) under uncultured bacterium. Its description in RNAcentral is "bacterial SSU rRNA". It matches the Rfam family "Bacterial small subunit ribosomal RNA", at positions 29 to 429 of the family's 1533-position model. The record is from RNAcentral.
AUUGAACGCUGGCGGAAUGCUUUACACAUGCAAGUCGAACGGCAGCACGGGGGCAACCCUGGUGGCGAGUGGCGAACGGGUGAGUAACACAUCGGAACGUGCCCAAUCGUGGGGGAUAACGUAGCGAAAGCUACGCUAAUACCGCAUACGAUCUACGGAUGAAAGCGGGGGAUCGCAAAACCUCGCGCGAAUGGAGCGGCCGAUGGCAGAUUAGGUAGUUGGUGAGGUAAAGGCUCACCAAGGCGACGAUCUGUAGCGGGUCUGAGAGGAUGAUUUGCCACACUGGAACUGAGACACGGUCCAGACUCCUACGGGAGGCAGCAGUGGGGAAUUUUGGGACAAUGGGGGCAACCCUGAUCCAGCCAUGCCGCGUGAGUGAAGAAGGCCUGGUUGUAAG